RNAcentral lists this ribosomal RNA (367 nucleotides) under uncultured bacterium. Its description in RNAcentral is "partial 16S ribosomal RNA". It matches the Rfam family "Bacterial small subunit ribosomal RNA", at positions 338 to 722 of the family's 1533-position model. The record is from RNAcentral.
CCUACGGGAGGCAGCAGUAGGGAAUAUUGCUCAAUGGGGGAAACCCUGAAGCAGCAACGCCGCGUGGAGGAUGAAGGUUUUCGGAUUGUAAACUUCUUUUUUUAUAGAAGAUAAUGACUUUAUCUAACGAAUAAGCACCGGCUAACUCCAUGCCAGAAGCGGCUGUAAUACGGAGGGUGCAGGCGUUACUCGGAAUCACUGUGCGUAAAGAGCGCGUAGGCGGGAUAGUAAGUCAGAUGUGAAAUCCUAUGGCUUAACCAUAGAACUGCAGUUGAAACUGUUAUUCUAGAGUAUGGGAGAGGUAGGCGGAAGUCGUGGUGUAGCGGUAAAAUCCGUAGAGAUCAAGAGGAACACUGAUUGCGAAGGC